UUGUAAAAAGCAAUAAUGCGUUUAGUUUCGGCCUAAAAGAUUGAAAGAGUAAUUCUUUACUUA
This 63-nucleotide transfer RNA is filed under the name Echinolaelaps echidninus. Its description in RNAcentral is "tRNA-Arg". The record is from RNAcentral. Lineage: Eukaryota; Metazoa; Arthropoda; Arachnida; Mesostigmata; Laelapidae.